GGAUCUGGCUGGCCAUCGCUGUCCUGGACUGUCAAGGGGUCAGGGGUUCGAAUCCCCUCAGCUCCACCA
This 69-nucleotide transfer RNA is filed under the name Actinomycetota bacterium. RNAcentral describes it as "tRNA-Ser". Lineage: Bacteria; Bacillati; Actinomycetota. The record is from RNAcentral.